AAGUGGUUGUAUGUUUGAUCGAGCCUAACAGGCACGCUUAAUCAGAACCGAGGAAUCAUCUCUAAGAUUGAUGCGGGCUAGAAGGAACCAUUUGGACCACUAGUAAUUUCCCGCAACUUUGGGGCCUCUCGAGCAUUAAACCCCAAGCAUUCAAUGGUUUUGUAAUGCUAUAUCAUGGAUGUCUAAUAAGUAUAUUGUUAGAAGCCCAAUCUCUGUUAAAUUUGAAUAAGGGGAGGAGGGGCUAUCUAUCUUUUUGUAAAAUUAUAAAAAGUGGUUGUAUGUUUGAUCGAGCCUAACAGACACGCUUAAUCAGAACCGAGGAAUCAUCUCUAAGAUUGAUGCGGGCUAGAAGGAACCAUUUGGACCACUAGUAAUUUCCCGCAACUUUGGGGCCUCUCGAGCAUUAAACCCCAAGCAUUCAAUGGUUUUGUAAUGCUAUAUCAUGGAUGUCUAAUAAGUAUAUUGUUAGAAGCCCAAUCUCUGUUAAAUUUGAAUAAGGGGAGGAGGGGCUAUCUAUCUUUUUGUAAAAUUAUAAAAAGUGGUUGUAUGUUUGAUCGAGCCUAACAGACACGCUUAAUCAGAACCGAGGAAUCAUCUCUAAGAUUGAUGCGGGCUAGAAGGAACCAUUUGGACCACUAGUAAUUUCCCGCAACUUUGGGGCCUCUCGAGCAUUAAACCCCAAGCAUUCAAUGGUUUUGUAAUGCUACCAGCUCUGUGUAGAGCUGUGGCGUGCACCAUUUUUCUGCCAAGAGUAGAGAAGCCCAACGGCAUCCGCAUUAUCAGACACAUUAUCGAACAUCCACACCACUUUAAUGCCCCACUUGGUUACAAGCCAACGUUACGUGGCUCGGCG
This 853-nucleotide long non-coding RNA is filed under the name Solanum lycopersicum (tomato). RNAcentral describes it as "long non-coding RNA (SLYC_LNC000585)". The record is from RNAcentral. Lineage: Eukaryota; Viridiplantae; Streptophyta; Magnoliopsida; Solanales; Solanaceae.